This 497-nucleotide ribosomal RNA is filed under the name uncultured bacterium. Its description in RNAcentral is "partial 16S ribosomal RNA". It matches the Rfam family "Bacterial small subunit ribosomal RNA", at positions 28 to 507 of the family's 1533-position model. The record is from RNAcentral.
GAUGAACGCUGGCGGCGUGCCUAAUACAUGCAAGUCGAGCGAACGGACGAGAAGCUUGCUUCUCUGAUGUUAGCGGCGGACGGGUGAGUAACACGUGGAUAACCUACCUAUAAGACUGGGAUAACUUCGUGAAACCGUAGCUAAUACCGGAUAAUAUUUUGAACCGCAUGGUUCAAAAGUGAAAGACGGUCUUGCUGUCACUUAUAGAUGGAUCCGCGCUGCAUUAUCUAGUUGGUAAGGUAACGGCUUACCAAGGCAACGAUGCAUAUCCGACCUGAGAGGGUGAUCGGCAACACUGGAACUGAGACACGGUCCAGACUCCUACGGGAGGCAGCAGUAGGGAAUAUUCCGCAAUGGGAGAAAGCAUGACGGAGCAAAGCCGCGUGAGUGAUGAAGGUCUUCGGAUCGUAAAACUCUGUUAUUAGGGAAGAACAUAUGUGUAAGUAACUGUGCACAUCUUGACGGUACCUAAUCAGAAAGCCACGGCUAACUACGUG